AGCUAGUGUGGUGUAGUGGUUUGAGUAUUGGACUAUAACUCUGGAGACCAGGGUUCGAAUCCUGGCUUGGCCA
RNAcentral lists this transfer RNA (73 nucleotides) under Phrynosoma platyrhinos (Desert horned lizard). RNAcentral's name for it is "tRNA-OTHER". The record is from RNAcentral. Lineage: Eukaryota; Metazoa; Chordata; Lepidosauria; Squamata; Phrynosomatidae.